GAUGAACGCUGGCGGCGUGCCUAAUACAUGCAAGUCGAGCGAACGGACGAGAAGCUUGCUUCUCUGAUGUUAGCGGCGGACGGGUGAGUAACACGUGGAUAACCUACCUAUAAGACUGGGAUAACUUCGGGAAACCGGAGCUAAUACCGGAUAAUAUUUUGAACCGCAUGGUUCAAAAGUGAAAGACGGUCUUGCUGUCACUUAUAGAUGGAUCCGCGCUGCAUUAGCUAGUUGGUAAGGUAACGGCUUACCAAGGCAACGAUGCAUAGCCGACCUGAGAGGGUGACCGGCCACACUGGAACUGGAACACGGUCCAGACUCCUACGGGAGGCAGCAGUAGGGAAUCUUCCGCAAUGGGCGAAAGCCUGACGGAGCAACGCCGCGUGAGUGAUGAAGGUCUUCGGAUCGUAAAACUCUGUUAUUAGGGAAGAACAUAUGUGUAAGUAACUGUGCACAUCUUGACGGUACCUAAUCAGAAAGCCACGGCUAACUACGUG
This 497-nucleotide ribosomal RNA is filed under the name uncultured bacterium. RNAcentral describes it as "partial 16S ribosomal RNA". It matches the Rfam family "Bacterial small subunit ribosomal RNA", at positions 28 to 507 of the family's 1533-position model. The record is from RNAcentral.